Molecule: transfer-messenger RNA, 379 nt
Filed under: Bacteroidales bacterium
Lineage: Bacteria; Pseudomonadati; Bacteroidota; Bacteroidia; Bacteroidales
Rfam family: transfer-messenger RNA
About the family: Bacterial tmRNA, also known as 10Sa RNA or SsrA, is named for its dual tRNA and mRNA-like properties. Its role is to liberate the mRNA from a stalled ribosome. To accomplish this part of the tmRNA is used as a reading frame that ends in a translation stop signal.
Source: RNAcentral
GGGGGUGACUGGUUUUGACAGCAAGCAUAGCCGGAAGAUAAGCACGCCGAGUUCUGUGUAUUCGCCUCGUAAAUCGUGAUGCACAACGCCAUUAAACGGCAACGAAAACAAUUAUGCCCUCGCGGCCUAGUAUUAGAUACUACGCUUGAGGUGCUUCCGGAAAAGCCCCGGCAGAAGGCUCGUUCCUGCGAAGUAUAAAAUCAAUCUCUGCUCCUUGGCGAUUCGCUUUCGGUCGCCGGAGGUACAACAGGAAGAUAAGGAAAAGAUACAGGCCGUCUUUCGCCUACCCUUUUCUCGAAAACCCAACGAAAGACUAAGCGUGUAGAAAGUUUUUCAACUACUUGUUUGGACGGCGGUUCGAUUCCGCCCACUUCCACAG